UAGAUACCCCACUAUGCUUUGCCGUAAACAUUGAUAGCAUAUCACACCCGCUAUCCGCCUGGGAACUACGAGCAUUAGCUUAAAACCCAAAGGACUUGGCGGUGCUUUAGACCCACCUAGAGGAGCCUGUUCUAUAACCGAUGACCCCCGUUCAACCUCACCUUUUCUUGUUUUAUUCCGCCUAUAUACCGCCGUCGUCAGCUUACCCUGCAGAGGGAACACACAGUAAGCACAAUUGGUAAUACCCAAAACGUCAGGUCGAGGUGUAGCGUAUGAAAAGGGAAGAAAUGGGCUACAUUCCCUGUUACAGUGAAUACGGAUGAUAUUGCUGAAACGUAUAUCUAGAAGGAGGAUUUAGCAGUAAGUAGGAAGCAGAGCGUUCUACUGAAACCGGCCCUGAAGCGCGCACACACCGCCCG
This 419-nucleotide ribosomal RNA is filed under the name Variola louti (yellow-edged lyretail). RNAcentral's name for it is "partial 12S ribosomal RNA". It matches the Rfam family "Bacterial small subunit ribosomal RNA", at positions 779 to 1396 of the family's 1533-position model. The record is from RNAcentral. Lineage: Eukaryota; Metazoa; Chordata; Actinopteri; Perciformes; Serranidae.